RNAcentral lists this ribosomal RNA (433 nucleotides) under uncultured bacterium. Its description in RNAcentral is "partial 16S ribosomal RNA". It matches the Rfam family "Bacterial small subunit ribosomal RNA", at positions 29 to 507 of the family's 1533-position model. The record is from RNAcentral.
AACGAACGCUGGCGGCAUGCCUAACACAUGCAAGUCGAACGAAACCUUCGGGUCUAUGUGCGCACGGGUGCUUAACGCGUGGUAACCUGCCCUUAGGUUCGGAAUAACUCCCCGAAAGGGAUGCUAAUACCGGAUAAUCUCUUCGGACCAAAGAUUUAUCGCCUUUGGAUGGGCCCUCGUUGGAUUAGCUAGUUGGUAGGGUAAAAGCCUACCAAGGCGAGGAUCCAUAGCUGGUCUGAGAGGAUGAUCAUCCACACUGGGACUGAGACACGGCCCAGAAUCCUACGGGAGGCAGCAGUGGGGAAUACUGGACACUGGGCGAAAGCCUGAUCAAGCAACGCCGCGUGAGUGAUGAAGGCCUUAGGGUUGUAAAGCUCUUUUACACGGGACGAUAAUGACAGUAACGGGAGAAUAAGCUCCGGCUAACUACGUG